Molecule: transfer RNA, 67 nt
Filed under: Deveximentum hanedai
Lineage: Eukaryota; Metazoa; Chordata; Actinopteri; Chaetodontiformes; Leiognathidae
Description: tRNA-Ser
Source: RNAcentral
GAGAGAGGCUCGCAGCAACGAAAACUGCUAACUUUCGCUACCUAGGUUGAACUCCUAGGCUCACUCG